This 794-nucleotide ribosomal RNA is filed under the name uncultured bacterium. Its description in RNAcentral is "bacterial SSU rRNA". It matches the Rfam family "Bacterial small subunit ribosomal RNA", at positions 8 to 781 of the family's 1533-position model. The record is from RNAcentral.
AGAGUUUGAUCAUGGCUCAGGACGAACGCUGGCGGCGUGCCUAACACAUGCAAGUCGAACGGAGAUUUCAGCAAUGAAAUCUUAGUGGCGAACGGGUGAGUAACGCGUGGACAACCUACCUUCUAGAUGGGGACAACACUGCGAAAGUGGUGCUAAUACCGAAUGUUGUAUCUUGGUUGCAUAACUAAGAUACUAAAGAUGGCCUCUAUUUAUAAGCUAUCGCUAGGAGACGGGUCUGCGUCUGAUUAGCUAGUUGGUGGGGUAAUGGCUCACCAAGGCGACGAUCAGUAGCCGGUCUGAGAGGAUGAACGGCCACACUGGGACUGAGACACGGCCCAGACUCCUACGGGAGGCAGCAGUGGGGAAUCUUCCGCAAUGGACGAAAGUCUGACGGAGCAACGCCGCGUGAGUGAAGAAGGUUUUCGGAUCGUAAAACUCUGUUUUCAGGGACGAAUGUGCAGCUUGUAAAUAAUGAGUUGUAAUGACGGUACCUGAGUAGAAAGCCACUGCUAACUACGUGCCAGCAGCCGCGGUAAUACGUAGGUGGCAAGCGUUGUCCGGAAUUAUUGGGCGUAAAGCGCGCGCAGGUGGGAUAUUAAGUCUGGUGUUAAAGUUCGGGGCUCAACCCCGUGAAGCAUUUGGAAACUGAUAUUCUUGAGUGCAGGAGAGGAAAGUGGAAUUCCUAGUGUAGCGGUGAAAUGCGUAGAUAUUAGGAGGAACACCAGUGGCGAAGGCGACUUUCUGGACUGUGUCUGACACUGAGGCGCGAAAGCUAGGGUAGUGAACAGGAUUAG